Molecule: ribosomal RNA, 329 nt
Filed under: uncultured eukaryote
Lineage: Eukaryota
Description: partial 18S ribosomal RNA
Rfam family: Eukaryotic small subunit ribosomal RNA
Source: RNAcentral
CCCUUAGAUGUUCUGGGCCGCACGCGCGCUACAAUGAUGAAUUCAACGAGUUUAUAACCUUGGUUGAAAAGCCUGGGUAAUCUUUUGAACUUUCGUCGUGAUGGGGCUAGACCCUUGCAAUUAUUGGUCUCCAACGAGGAAUUCCCAGUAAACGCAAGUCAUCAGCUUGCAUUGAUUACGUCCCUGCCCUUUGUACACACCGCCCGUCGCACCUACCGAUUGAAUGGUCCGGUGAAAUCUUCGGAUUGAGACUUUGAUUUGUUUACUCAAAACGCUGUUUCAAGAAGUUGAUUAAACCUUACCAUUUAGAGGAAGGUGAAGUCGUAACA